UACAGAGGUCUCAAGCGUUGUUCGGAUUCAUUGGGCGUAAAGGGUGCGUAGGUGGCGCGUUAAGUCAGGUGUGAAAUUUCGGAGCUUAACUCCGAAACUGCAUUUGAUACUGGCGUGCUUGAGGACUGGAGAGGAGACUGGAAUUCAUGGUGUAGCAGUGAAAUGCGUAGAGAUCAUGAGGAAGACCAGUGGCGAAGGCGGGUCUCUGGACAGUUCCUGACACUAAGGCACGAAGGCCAGGGGAGCAAACGGG
RNAcentral lists this ribosomal RNA (253 nucleotides) under uncultured bacterium. Its description in RNAcentral is "partial 16S ribosomal RNA". It matches the Rfam family "Bacterial small subunit ribosomal RNA", at positions 524 to 776 of the family's 1533-position model. The record is from RNAcentral.